UACGUAGGGGGCAAGCGUUGUCCGGAAUCAUUGGGCGUAAAGAGCGUGUAGGCGGCUUGGUAAGUCCGCUGUGAAAGUCCAGGGCUCAACCCUGGAAUGCCGGUGGAAACUGUCAGGCUCGAGUCCGGAAGAGGCGAGUGGAAUUCCUGGUGUAGCGGUGAAAUGCGCAGAUAUCAGGAGGAACACCAAUGGCGAAGGCGACUCUUUGGUCUGUAACUGACGCUGAGGCGCGAAAGCGUGGGGAGCAAACAGG
RNAcentral lists this ribosomal RNA (253 nucleotides) under uncultured bacterium. RNAcentral's name for it is "partial 16S ribosomal RNA". It matches the Rfam family "Bacterial small subunit ribosomal RNA", at positions 524 to 776 of the family's 1533-position model. The record is from RNAcentral.